GACGAACGCUGGCGGCGUGCUUAACACAUGCAAGUCAAACGGAGCACCCUUGAUUGAGGUUUCGGCCAAAUGAUAGGAAUGCUUAGUGGCGGACUGGUGAGUAACGCGUGAGGAACCUGCCUUUCAGAGGGGGACAACAGUUGGAAACGACUGCUAAUACCGCAUGACGCAUUUUGAUCGCAUGGUCGAAAUGCCAAAGAUUUAUCGCUGAAAGAUGGCCUCGCGUCUGAUUAGCUAGUUGGUGAGGUAACGGCUCACCAAGGCGACGAUCGGUAGCCGGACUGAGAGGUUGACCGGCCACAUUGGGACUGAGAUACGGCCCAGACUCCUACGGGAGGCAGCAGUGGGGAAUAUUGGCAAUGGGCGCAAGCCUGACCCAGCAACGCCGCGUGAAGGAAGAAGGCUUUCGGGUUGUAAACUUCUUUUAAGUGGGAAGAGUAGAAGACGGUACCACUUGAAUAAGCCACGGCUAACUACGUGCCAGCAGCCGCAGUAA
Molecule: ribosomal RNA, 496 nt
Filed under: uncultured bacterium
Lineage: Bacteria
Description: partial 16S ribosomal RNA
Rfam family: Bacterial small subunit ribosomal RNA
Source: RNAcentral